GAACUGCGAUAAGUAAUGUGAAUUGCAGAAUUCAGUGAAUCAUCGAGUCUUUGAACGCACAUUGCGCCCCCUGGCAUUCCGGGGGGCAUGCCUGUCCGAGCGUCAUUGCUGCCCUUCAAGCCCGGCUUGUGUGUUGGGUCGUCGUCCCCCCCGGGGGACGGACCCGAAAGGCAGCGGCGGCACCGUGUCCGGUCCUCGAGCGUAUGGGGCUUUGUCACCCGCUCGAUUAGGACCGGCCGGGCGCCCGCCGGCGUCAAACCCCAAUCUUUCUAAGGUUGACCUCGGAUCGGGUAGGGAUACCCGCUGAACUUAAGC
This 315-nucleotide unclassified non-coding RNA is filed under the name plant metagenome. RNAcentral describes it as "partial contains 5.8S ribosomal RNA, internal transcribed spacer 2, and large subunit ribosomal RNA". The stretch from base 1 to 105 matches the Rfam family "5.8S ribosomal RNA", at positions 50 to 154 of the family's 154-position model. The record is from RNAcentral.